UGACAGCCAUCUUUGUGUUUACUUUAGUCAAUGAGUUAUAUUUACUAGAGGGGCUAUCAUGUGACUUUGGGUACGCUGAACUCGACUCCAUCUUGACACAGUCAUUCAACCGUUGACACAGACCCGCAAUGACUUGUCACUGUGCAGCGUUCGCUUGUAGCAAUCGUAGUGGAAAAUGUUCGGACCUCAUAACAUUUCAUUGGUGUGCCAUUAAAACAAAGACAGAAGAGUUGAUUUGUACUCCUGAUUGCUUACUAAAGUUUUGUAACAGUAAGUAUGUAAUAUUUACACAACAGACACAUUGUUAAUUAUCUAAAUUUAUUAAGCAAAAGAAAAAAGAAAGAAAAACACCCUGACAUUUGCUUUGUGGAUUGCUUCCUAAAGCUCUGUAACAGUAAAUAAAUUUAUUUUUCACAUUUUAUGGACAACAACAUCGACCUCACAUACAGCACAUAGAUCUCACCAAAACUUGCUCCGUUUGCUAUGAACAUCAUAACAUACAUUGCAGGUUUUAUGGUGCGUCAGAUUGUAACUGAGGUGUGUUGUGAUGUGUGUAAAUCAUCUUUGGUCUCUAAUGCUGUCCAACCUCAAUAUGAUGAUUUGUAUCAGCUGCUUCAAAUGAAAAAUAAAGGUGGGCUUGUUACACCCUCA
Molecule: long non-coding RNA, 651 nt
Organism: Austrofundulus limnaeus
Lineage: Eukaryota; Metazoa; Chordata; Actinopteri; Cyprinodontiformes; Rivulidae
Exons: 2
Source: RefSeq, a predicted model, not a curated record